Salvia splendens (bonfire salvia) is the source of this 1060-nucleotide RNA transcript. It is a transcript of the gene named L-arabinokinase-like, with no coding region annotated. The transcript has 6 exons. The record is from RefSeq and is a predicted model, not a curated record. Lineage: Eukaryota; Viridiplantae; Streptophyta; Magnoliopsida; Lamiales; Lamiaceae.
GAUGUUGAGAGGUUGGUGUUUGGCUACAGACACACAGAGAGAGAAAAGCGAAUCUGCAAAUCUGCUAGUGGAUCCAAUAGAAAAAGAGAUGCAGGAAGAAAUGGGGCCAAAAAAGCCUCUUGUUUUUGCCUACUAUGUCACCUGCCAUGGAUUUGGCCAUGCCACCCGUGUUGCCGAGGUGGUUCGCAAUCUCAUCCUGCUAGGACAUGAAAUUCACGUGGUUACAGCUGCUUCAGAGCACAUUUUUACCACAGAGAUAGAGUCACCUAAACUUUUCAUCCGGAAGGUCAAUCCCCUACCUUCCCCCAUUUUUUGUAUCCAAGACUUAAUAUGCUUGGAGGUGCUAUUAGAUAUUGGAGCCAUUCAAACAGAUGCGUUGACAGUUGAUCGUCUUGCAUUCUUGGAGAAGGUGAUUUCUGGUGUCCCGGAGGGCAAAGGUGUAUCAUCUUCCGCUGCAAUAGAAGUUGCAACAAUGUCUGCUGUGGCUGCUUCUCAUGGAUUAGAUAUUGCACCAAGAGAUCUUGCUUUGCUUUGUCAAAAGGCAUGCUAUGCUCCUAAUCAAUUUUUGUUGGAGUUCCUUUAAGUCUAAAUAUUUGCGCUGCUAUUUACCGCUUAACAUUGAUCGAGUAUCUCAUGUAAAAGGUCGAGAAUCAUGUUGUUGGUGCUCCGUGUGGUGUGGUGAAGAAAACAAACUACUAGCAAUGUUGUGUCAGCCUGCUGAAGUCUUAGGUCAUGGGGAAAUCCCUCCUCACAUACGAUUUUGGGGGAUACGACACAGGUAUACAUUUAGGGGCUACUUGGUAUGGUGGAAUGGAAUUUCCAUUCCUUUGCUUGGUAUUUUUAUUUUUCUUUGUUAGGAAUCACCAUUCCAUUCUACAUGGGAAUAGCCAUUCCUUCCAUUUAGCUAAGGAAUGGCCUUUCCAUUCCAUUUCAUUAUCUUUUCUUCUUAUUUUAGAUUUUAAUAAAAUUUUAAAACAUAUUAUAUGCUAUUUAAAUUCAAUAUCACUCAAUUUUAUAAUUUUUAAAUUUUAUAUUAAAACUAAAAUUUUAGAAUUUUUAA